AGCAGGACAGAGAUAUCAUGAG
Molecule: unclassified non-coding RNA, 22 nt
Filed under: Mus musculus (house mouse)
Lineage: Eukaryota; Metazoa; Chordata; Mammalia; Rodentia; Muridae
Description: oocyte_clustered_small_RNA817
Source: RNAcentral